This 748-nucleotide ribosomal RNA is filed under the name unidentified microorganism. RNAcentral describes it as "bacterial SSU rRNA". It matches the Rfam family "Bacterial small subunit ribosomal RNA", at positions 53 to 803 of the family's 1533-position model. The record is from RNAcentral.
ACAUGCAGUCGAGGGGUAUUUAUCUUCGGAUAGAGAGACCGGCGCACGGGUGCGUAACGCGUAUGCAAUCUACCUUUUACAGAGGGAUAGCCCAGAGAAAUUUGGAUUAAUACCUCAUAGUAUAUAGACUCGGCAUCGAGAUUAUAUUAAAGUCACAACGGUAAAAGAUGAGCAUGCGUCCCAUUAGCUAGUUGGUAAGGUAACGGCUUACCAAGGCUACGAUGGGUAGGGGUCCUGAGAGGGAGAUCCCCCACACUGGUACUGAGACACGGACCAGACUCCUACGGGAGGCAGCAGUGAGGAAUAUUGGACAAUGGGCGCAAGCCUGAUCCAGCCAUGCCGCGUGCAGGAUGACGGUCCUAUGGAUUGUAAACUGCUUUUAUACGAGAAGAAACACUACUUCGUGAAGUAGCUUGACGGUAUCGUAAGAAUAAGGAUCGGCUAACUCCGUGCCAGCAGCCGCGGUAAUACGGAGGAUCCAAGCGUUAUCCGGAAUCAUUGGGUUUAAAGGGUCCGUAGGCGGUUUAAUAAGUCAGUGGUGAAAGCCCAUCGCUCAACGGUGGAACGGCCAUUGAUACUGUUAGACUUGAAUUAUUAGGAAGUAACUAGAAUAUGUAGUGUAGCGGUGAAAUGCUUAGAGAUUACAUGGAAUACCAAUUGCGAAGGCAGGUUACUACUAAUUGAUUGACGCUGAUGGACGAAAGCGUGGGUAGCGAACAGGAUUAGAUACCCUGGUAGUCCACGCCGU